AUACGGAGGAUCCGAGCGUUAUCCGGAUUUAUUGGGUUUAAAGGGAGCGUAGGCGGACGCUUAAGUCAGUUGUGAAAGUUUGCGGCUCAACCGUAAAAUUGCAGUUGAUACUGGGUGUCUUGAGUACAGUAGAGGCAGGCGGAAUUUGGGGGGUGGCGGUGAAAUGAUUAGAUAUCACGAAGAACACCGAUUGCGAAGGCAGCCUGCUGGACUGUAACUGACGCUGAUGCUCGAAAGUGUGGGUAUCAAACAGGAUUAGAUACCCUGGUAGUCCACACAGUAAACGAUGAAUACUCGCUGUUUGCGAUAUACAGUAAGCGGCCAAGCGAAAGCGUUAAGUAUUCCACCUGGGGAGUACGCCGGCAACGGUGAAACUCAAAGGAAUUGACGGGG
Molecule: ribosomal RNA, 393 nt
Filed under: uncultured bacterium
Lineage: Bacteria
Description: partial 16S ribosomal RNA
Rfam family: Bacterial small subunit ribosomal RNA
Source: RNAcentral